Molecule: long non-coding RNA, 510 nt
Organism: Dermacentor silvarum
Lineage: Eukaryota; Metazoa; Arthropoda; Arachnida; Ixodida; Ixodidae
Exons: 3
Source: RefSeq, a predicted model, not a curated record
ACCAAACCUAGCGAAAACUAAAAAAGUUAACAAGCAACAUUGGUAUAUCAUUUUUUUUUUUUGCGUUUGUUUUUGUCGCCAUUUCUCUUUUUUUUUUUCUUGGUCGGCAUGUGCGCCACGUGUGUGUCGUGAGCUCUAAGCACGUGAGUGUGUGCUGUCAUCUGCUGCUGCGCGAUAAGGAACAUAUUGUCAAGAGCGUACAAGACGAAAAGCGGGAUGUAUCUAUAUACCGUCCGUGCAUUGGCUGACGCGGAGGUAUGCUACCGACUCGGCUGCGUGGACGCGGGCACGAAGAAAGGAACGCCGACUGACCAACGAUACUUUGACUGCGCAUGUGUGCCACUCAAGUGCAACAGUUCACGAGGCAUCCCAGGCCCCGAAAGAAGUUGGAAGAAGAUGCAAGCGCAGCAUGCCAAUGUUGUUGAAUAUGCCAGCACGAAGUUUCCAGGCGCAAGUGUUUCUUAUAUAAAAGCCUAUUCUCUCCCCUCACAAGGGAAAUAAAAUCACUAU